CGGAGGAUCCGAGCGUUAUCCGGAUUUAUUGGGUUCAAAGGGUGCGUAGGCGGCCUGUUAAGUCAGGGGUGAAAGACGGUAGCUCAACUAUCGCAGUGCCCUUGAUACUGAUGGGCUUGAAUGUACUAGAGGUAGGCGGAAUGUGACAAGUAGCGGUGAAAUGCAUAGAUAUGUCACAGAACACCAAUUGCGAAGGCAGCUUACUAUGGUAUUAUUGACGCUGAGGCACGAAAGCGUGGGGAUCAAACAGGAUUAGAUACCCUGGUAGUCCACGCCCUAAACGAUGAAUGCUCGAUGUUAGCGAUAUACAGUUAGCGUCAAAGCGAAAGCGUUAAGUAUUCCACCUGGGGAGUACGCCCGCAAGGGUG
RNAcentral lists this ribosomal RNA (368 nucleotides) under uncultured organism. RNAcentral's name for it is "bacterial SSU rRNA". It matches the Rfam family "Bacterial small subunit ribosomal RNA", at positions 526 to 896 of the family's 1533-position model. The record is from RNAcentral.